UGUUUUUUUCUCUUUCCCUUUCGGUUUGUUUUGUUUUUUAGAGGAGCAGCAAAUGACAGAGCAGAGGGACAGCGGGCCCAGCCAAUCCUAGAGCGGCUGCAACACUUGUUCCCCAGACAGGCGCGUUCUGGUAUUUGUUAAGGAUCUGUCACGUGUUGGGCACUGCAUGAAGUCCUGAGGACACAGAGGCGGAUACAGGAGUCACACCAUGGUCUGGAAGGUUCUCCCUAGGGUGGCAUGGAAGCUGUCAGCUCUGGGGAAACCGUGACAGCGCAAGUUGGUGUACGCCGAGGAGCAGUCCCAGGUCCACUCAGAAACCCUGCAGGAGGCCAGCUAACCACAUCAGACUGCAGAAACACAUACUCAUUGCCCUGGAGAACAUGAUAUUGCUUCCAAGAUAAAAGACUCAACCUGUUGCCAGAUAUCUCAGCCGCCUGGUGCAGCUCUCAUCUGCCAGCACCUCCUCCUGCAAUUGGCAAGGCUGCUUCCAGCUAGAACAGGGGGAUGAAGAGUCUUCAAAGCACGGAUCUUUGCUCGCCAUAGAUGGUUGUAGUGGUUAGUGCAGAAUGUCAUCUUGAUCAACUUUGGGAUCCACCAGGGUAAUUAGGGGAAAACACCUCUGGGUAUGUGUGGGUGGGUCAUGAAUGCAUGGCCUUGCAGUCUGUGUCUAGUCCUUUGCCCCUUCUGAUCUGACAGUGUUCCCAUGCUCUGCUUUCUGGCUGCCAUGAACUAAGCAGCUUUACUCUGGAGCAAGCCUUCCACCAUGGUGUUUCUGCCCUGGAGCCAGCCAGCCAUGGACUGAAUUUCCCUAAAACGUGAGCCACAUUAACCUCUCUUCCUUUAAAGUGUGAGUGUUGGGGGUUGUGUCCACUAAGAGGAAGCUGACUAACACAGUAGUGAAGGGAGGGGAGCUAUGUAUGGAUUCUAGAAUAUGCUGAUUUUUCAAACUUGAGUGCAGGUUUCAAGGUGCUUUCCAUCUGACCUCACUGCCUAGCCUCUUUAAUUGUGAUGCCAUAGAGUGAGGUUGUCAUUGUAUGACUCCGGAAAAGAAGACCUAAUGAGCGUGGUAGGGAGGAGUUGGGCAGGGCAGAAGGCAAGGUAAGGCCAGGCAUCCUGGGAGCUGUGCCCACAUUUUCCUGGGGCUCAACAGGCAUCUCUGCCUCCAGUUUGAUUCUUGAUGUUCUUCCCUCUGUCCCAUAUACUUGUUCAGUUUCUCUACUUUGGGGAGAGGCAGAUACAUUUUUUUUGGAUAAACUCAAAUUACAUAAUUAAGAAGACACAUCUACUUAGAAUAAGCAUUUGCAAAUGAUGUUGAGAUGCCCUUUUAAAAAAUGUUUCCCUCUGUUAGUGGGAGU
Molecule: long non-coding RNA, 1355 nt
Organism: Chinchilla lanigera (long-tailed chinchilla)
Lineage: Eukaryota; Metazoa; Chordata; Mammalia; Rodentia; Chinchillidae
Exons: 4
Source: RefSeq, a predicted model, not a curated record